This 357-nucleotide unclassified non-coding RNA is filed under the name Hevea brasiliensis (rubber tree). The record is from RNAcentral. Lineage: Eukaryota; Viridiplantae; Streptophyta; Magnoliopsida; Malpighiales; Euphorbiaceae.
AGUGGCAGUGGUGGCGGAUAUGGCAGUGGCGGUGGUGGUGGAUAUGGCAGUGGUGGUGGAUAUGGAGGUGGAUAUGACACUGGCCUCGGGGGUGGGUAUGGAGGUAGCAGUGGAGGUUCCUUUUAUGGAAGUAGAGGGGGAUAUGGUGGUGCGGGUAGUGGUAGAUACCACCCUUAUGGGAGGUAGAAGGCUCUUGUGGAAAGAUUUUUGGGAUUGAAGUGCAACGGCCAAGUGAAGUUGUUGUCACAACUGUAAUGUUUGAGCUAGUUGUCAAAUUCUGUAGCUUGUGCUCUUAGGUCUCUUUAGUUUGGCAAGUUGGUGCCUGGGAUUUUUUCACUGAAUGUUCAAUCAUCUAGG